RNAcentral lists this ribosomal RNA (450 nucleotides) under uncultured bacterium. Its description in RNAcentral is "bacterial SSU rRNA". It matches the Rfam family "Bacterial small subunit ribosomal RNA", at positions 96 to 564 of the family's 1533-position model. The record is from RNAcentral.
CGGCGGAUGGGUGAGUAACGCGUGAGGAACCUGCCUUCCACAAGGGGAUAGCCUCGGGAAACCGGGAUUAAUACCCUAUGACACUUAAAUGUCCCAUGACUUUUAAGUUAAAGCGUUAGCGGUGGAAGAUGGCCUCGCGUCCCAUUAGCUAGUUGGUGAGGUAACGGCUCACCAAGGCCACGAUGGGUAGCCGGCUUGAGAGAGUGACCGGCCACACUGGAACUGAGACACGGUCCAGACUCCUACGGGAGGCAGCAGUGGGGAAUAUUGCACAAUGGAGGGAACUCUGAUGCAGCGACGCCGCGUGAGCGAUGAAGGCCUUCGGGUCGUAAAGCUCUGUCCUAUGGGACGAUAAUGACGGUACCAUAGGAGGAAGCCCCGGCUAACUACGUGCCAGCAGCCGCGGUAAUACGUAGGGGGCGAGCGUUGUCCGGAAUUACUGGGCGUAAA